RNAcentral lists this transfer-messenger RNA (408 nucleotides) under Gammaproteobacteria bacterium. It matches the Rfam family "transfer-messenger RNA". Rfam says of the family: Bacterial tmRNA, also known as 10Sa RNA or SsrA, is named for its dual tRNA and mRNA-like properties. Its role is to liberate the mRNA from a stalled ribosome. To accomplish this part of the tmRNA is used as a reading frame that ends in a translation stop signal. The record is from RNAcentral. RNAcentral also lists the same sequence under 1 other name. Lineage: Bacteria; Pseudomonadati; Pseudomonadota; Gammaproteobacteria.
GGGGGCGACACGGCAUUCGACGUGGGUUACAAAACCUUAGGUGCAUGCCGAGGUGCAGAGUACCUCGUAAAUCCAUCUGCAAAACUAUAGUUGCCAACGACGACAACUACGCACUCGCCGCCUAAGAAACGGUAGAUUGCCAUCUGACUGGAGCCGUGCUUGUGCGUCCAGGUUUCAACUGCCAGCGGUGUUAAAACCAACGGUUGUGGCGAAACACUCAGGUGUCAUCUCUCACAAGAUCGCGAUGAAGCACGUUCGGGGUGGAUUCGUUAAAAACUUACCGAAAUCGCCGCAGUACGCGCCACGUUCGCCGGGCAGUACGCGGUUAAAUAUAAUAGGCGGACUAUGCAUGUAGAGCCGAAGGCAGAGGACUUGCGGACGCGGGUUCGACUCCCGCCGCCUCCACCA